CAGAGAGAAGCAAUACCGCGAGGUGGAGCAAAACUUCAAAAAUAGGUCUCAGUUCGGACUGUAGGCUGCAACUCGCCUACACGAAGCUGGAAUUGCUAGUAAUCGUGGAUCAGCAUGCCACGGUGAAUACGUUCCCGGGUCUUGUACACACCGCCCGUCACACCAUGGAAGUUGGGGGUGCCCAAAGCCGGCAAGCAAAUAUGCUGUCUAAGGCAAAACCAAUGACUGGGGUGAAGUCGUAACAAGGUAGC
Molecule: ribosomal RNA, 251 nt
Filed under: uncultured bacterium
Lineage: Bacteria
Description: partial 16S ribosomal RNA
Rfam family: Bacterial small subunit ribosomal RNA
Source: RNAcentral